This 506-nucleotide ribosomal RNA is filed under the name uncultured bacterium. RNAcentral describes it as "partial 16S ribosomal RNA". It matches the Rfam family "Bacterial small subunit ribosomal RNA", at positions 30 to 523 of the family's 1533-position model. The record is from RNAcentral.
AUUGAACGCUGGCGGCAGGCCUAACACAUGCAAGUCGAGCGGUAACACAGAGGAGCUUGCUCCUUGGGAGACGAGCGGCGGACGGGUGAGUAAUGCCUGGGGAUCUGCCCGAUAGAGGGGGAUAACUACGGGAAACUGUAGCUAAUACCGCAUAAUGUCUACGGACCAAAGUGGGGGCUCUUCGGACCUCAUGCUAUCGGAUGAACCCAGGUGGGAUUAGCUAGUUGGUGAGGUAAUGGCUCACCAAGGCGACGAUCUCUAACUGGUUUGAGAGAAUGACCAGUCACACUGGAACUGAGACACGGUCCAGACUCCUACGGGAGGCAGCAGUGGGGAAUAUUGCACAAUGGGCGCAAGCCUGAUGCAGCCAUGCCGCGUGUGUGGAGAAGGCCUUCGGGUUGUAAAGCACUUUCAGCGGGGAGGAAGGGUCACUAGUUAAUACCUAGUGGCAUUGACGUUACUCGCAGAAGAAGCACCGGCUAACUCCGUGCCAGCCGCCGCCGUAA